AUUGAACGCUGGCGGCAGGCCUAACACAUGCAAGUCGAGCGGUAGCACAGAGAGCUUGCUCUCGGGUGACGAGCGGCGGACGGGUGAGUAAUGUCUGGGAAACUGCCUGAUGGAGGGGGAUAACUACUGGAAACGGUAGCUAAUACCGCAUAACGUCGCAAGACCAAAGUGGGGGACCUUCGGGCCUCAUGCCAUCAGAUGUGCCCAGAUGGGAUUAGCUAGUAGGUGGGGUAACGGCUCACCUAGGCGACGAUCCCUAGCUGGUCUGAGAGGAUGACCAGCCACACUGGAACUGAGACACGGUCCAGACUCCUACGGGAGGCAGCAGUGGGGAAUAUUGCACAAUGGGCGCAAGCCUGAUGCAGCCAUGCCGCGUGUGUGAAGAAGGCCUUCGGGUUGUAAAGCACUUUCAGCGGGGAGGAAGGCGGUGAGGUUAAUAACCUCAUCGAUUGACGUUACCCGCAGAAGAAGCACCGGCUAACUCCGUGCCAGCAGCCGCGGUAAUACGGAGGGUGCAAGCGUUAAUCGGAAUUACUGGGCGUAAAGCGCACGCAGGCGGUCUGUCAAGUCGGAUGUGAAAUCCCCGGGCUCAACCUGGGAACUGCAUUCGAAACUGGCAGGCUAGAGUCUUGUAGAGGGGGGUAGAAUUCCAGGUGUAGCGGUGAAAUGCGUAGAGAUCUGGAGGAAUACCGGUGGCGAAGGCGGCCCCCUGGACAAAGACUGACGCUCAGGUGCGAAAGCGUGGGGAGCAAACAGGAUUAGAUACCCUGGUAGUCCACGCCGUAAACGAUGUCGAUUUGGAGGUUGUGCCCUUGAGGCGUGGCUUCCGGAGCUAACGCGUUAAAUCGACCGCCUGGGGAGUACGGCCGCAAGGUUAAAACUCAAAUGAAUUGACGGGGGCCCGCACAAGCGGUGGAGCAUGUGGUUUAAUUCGAUGCAACGCGAAGAACCUUACCUGGUCUUGACAUCCACAGAACUUUCCAGAGAUGGAUUGGUGCCUUCGGGAACUGUGAGACAGGUGCUGCAUGGCUGUCGUCAGCUCGUGUUGUGAAAUGUUGGGUUAAGUCCCGCAACGAGCGCAACCCUUAUCCUUUGUUGCCAGCGGUUCGGCCGGGAACUCAAAGGAGACUGCCAGUGAUAAACUGGAGGAAGGUGGGGAUGACGUCAAGUCAUCAUGGCCCUUACGACCAGGGCUACACACGUGCUACAAUGGCAUAUACAAAGAGAAGCGACCUCGCGAGAGCAAGCGGACCUCAUAAAGUAUGUCGUAGUCCGGAUUGGAGUCUGCAACUCGACUCCAUGAAGUCGGAAUCGCUAGUAAUCGUAGAUCAGAAUGCUACGGUGAAUACGUUCCCGGGCCU
This 1361-nucleotide ribosomal RNA is filed under the name uncultured bacterium. Its description in RNAcentral is "bacterial SSU rRNA". It matches the Rfam family "Bacterial small subunit ribosomal RNA", at positions 28 to 1381 of the family's 1533-position model. The record is from RNAcentral.